This 493-nucleotide ribosomal RNA is filed under the name Roseovarius litoreus. RNAcentral describes it as "bacterial SSU rRNA". It matches the Rfam family "Bacterial small subunit ribosomal RNA", at positions 394 to 905 of the family's 1533-position model. Lineage: Bacteria; Pseudomonadati; Pseudomonadota; Alphaproteobacteria; Rhodobacterales; Roseobacteraceae. The record is from RNAcentral.
AUGCCGCGUGAGUGAUGAAGGCCUUAGGGUCGUAAAGCUCUUUCGCCAGGGAUGAUAAUGACAGUACCUGGUAAAGAAACCCCGGCUAACUCCGUGCCAGCAGCCGCGGUAAUACGGAGGGGGUUAGCGUUGUUCGGAAUUACUGGGCGUAAAGCGCGCGUAGGCGGAUUGGAAAGUUGGGGGUGAAAUCCCAGGGCUCAACCCUGGAACUGCCUCCAAAACUCCUGGUCUUGAGUUCGAGAGAGGUGAGUGGAAUUCCGAGUGUAGAGGUGAAAUUCGUAGAUAUUCGGAGGAACACCAGUGGCGAAGGCGGCUCACUGGCUCGAUACUGACGCUGAGGUGCGAAAGUGUGGGGAGCAAACAGGAUUAGAUACCCUGGUAGUCCACACCGUAAACGAUGAAUGCCAGUCGUCGGGUAGCAUGCUGUUCGGUGACACACCUAACGGAUUAAGCAUUCCGCCUGGGGAGUACGGUCGCAAGAUUAAAACUCAAG